Non-coding RNA from Microcebus murinus (gray mouse lemur), 913 nucleotides. The record is from RefSeq and is a predicted model, not a curated record. NCBI's taxonomy places the organism in Eukaryota, Metazoa, Chordata, Mammalia, Primates, Cheirogaleidae.
GUCUUCAGCUGCUCUAUUUUCCUGUACCUCAACUGGAGCCGACGUUAUCAGAGCACCACCUGCUACCACCGCUGCAGCUGAGGCUCUGUCAGCAGUUCCAGAGCAGCUGGGAAGCUCCCCCUGGGCCAGAACAAACCAAGUCCACGCAAUGAAAGUACAUGUUUGAAGCUUGGAGCCUUUGACAGUUCUGCAUAUUCAGAAUGAGCCUGAGCCCAUAAAAUGAAGAUUACUGGAACCACAGAAUAAGACAAUGUGCUCGUGAUGAAGAUACAAUUGCCCUUUCUGAAGGGCUUUGGAAUUUUCCAAAUGAGCUUAACCUACCUCAACCAUCAAAUAUUUAUGAGCACCUACUAUGUGCAAGGUAUUUUGCAAGAGGAGGUCAUUGUUAUGUGCUGCAGUAUCAUCAGAAUCAAAGAUAAACGAAGCACCUAAACCCUACAUGAGAAUUCAACAGGUCACAUGUCUUGAUGGCAAGAUAAAGCAACCUACCUCCAACCUGUAUCACCUACACAAUGGAUCCUUAUUGACUGUCAUCCAAGUGGGCCAGUUAACUAUAAGCCAAGGAACUAACUCCUUGCUUUGCUCUCUUAUCUGAACAUAUUAAGACAAAAGUAUUAAAAUGAAUUGCCAUCCUGGCUAAGUGGAGACAUUACAGUGACAUGAGUAAUAUUCCAAGUUGCUGCAAAAGGCUGCAGUGUUUGCUGAUUACUCUAUGGAUGUGCAAAGAUGGCUCCCAGGUGCUACUGCCAGGCAGCAGCCAUCAAGAUCUGACCAUCCAUGAUGAAGCAGCUGCAGCGUGUGGCAUCCUUCUCUGGGGGCUGUGUGGCUAUGAGAAAGACACGGAAGAAUCUGCAAAUGGCCCUUGUGUAGGAAGGAAAGUAAAGCAGAACCCCUGGGGGUUCUCAGGAUGUGA